RNAcentral lists this transfer RNA (67 nucleotides) under Thylacodes squamigerus. RNAcentral's name for it is "tRNA-Asp". Lineage: Eukaryota; Metazoa; Mollusca; Gastropoda; Littorinimorpha; Vermetidae. The record is from RNAcentral.
AAGGAAUUAGUUAAGAAAAUAAUACUUGGUUGUCAACUGAGAGUCGCAUAGCAUUAUGUAUUUCUUG